Molecule: ribosomal RNA, 764 nt
Filed under: Enterobacteriaceae bacterium DHL-14
Lineage: Bacteria; Pseudomonadati; Pseudomonadota; Gammaproteobacteria; Enterobacterales; Enterobacteriaceae
Description: bacterial SSU rRNA
Rfam family: Bacterial small subunit ribosomal RNA
Source: RNAcentral
GGUAGAUGAACGCUGGCGGCAGGCCUAACACAUGCAAGUCGAACGGUAACAGGAAGCAGCUUGCUGCUUCGCUGACGAGUGGCGGACGGGUGAGUAAUGUCUGGGAAACUGCCUGAUGGAGGGGGAUAACUACUGGAAACGGUAGCUAAUACCGCAUAACGUCGCAAGACCAAAGAGGGGGACCUUCGGGCCUCUUGCCAUCGGAUGUGCCCAGAUGGGAUUAGCUUGUUGGUGGGGUAACGGCUCACCAAGGCGACGAUCCCUAGCUGGUCUGAGAGGAUGACCAGCCACACUGGAACUGAGACACGGUCCAGACUCCUACGGGAGGCAGCAGUGGGGAAUAUUGCACAAUGGGCGCAAGCCUGAUGCAGCCAUGCCGCGUGUAUGAAGAAGGCCUUCGGGUUGUAAAGUACUUUCAGCGGGGAGGAAGGGAGUAAAGUUAAUACCUUUGCUCAUUGACGUUACCCGCAGAAGAAGCACCGGCUAACUCCGUGCCAGCAGCCGCGGUAAUACGGAGGGUGCAAGCGUUAAUCGGAAUUACUGGGCGUAAAGCGCACGCAGGCGGUUUGUUAAGUCAGAUGUGAAAUCCCCGGGCUCAACCUGGGAACUGCAUCUGAUACUGGCAAGCUUGAGUCUCGUAGAGGGGGGUAGAAUUCCAGGUGUAGCGGUGAAAUGCGUAGAGAUCUGGAGGAAUACCGGUGGCGAAGGCGGCCCCCUGGACGAAGACUGACGCUCAGGUGCGAAAGCGUGGGAGCAACAGGAUA